AGAUUCUCGAGCUGGAGGAGGCCAUCGCGUGGAUGAUGGUCAUCCAUGUCACCGGGACCAAAGGGAAGGUGAAUCACGAGAUAACAUUUGGUGCCAAGGAUUCGGGAAGGUGAACUAAUACCAAGAACCAUGUCGCCGGAUGAUUCCGGAAGAGAUGGUCCUGAUAGUCGAGAUAAACGGUGCAUUGGGUGAACUUGUUACUACAGGAUUUCCACAUUCAUUCUAUCCCAUUACUCAUUUGCUUCCCGCUCGCCGCGGGAGCCGCUGGAGCCGGAGCCGCCCGCCCCGCAACGCCGCCACGGGGUUGAGAUCGUAUGGUGAUGUACUGGUGGCCCUGGAGACAUACAAGAUCGAUGAGAGAUGCUCAGAACAUCCAUACAUGUGUACGAUGACUAUGCCGCAGAGGACGAUGAGCAUGAGGAAAAGCUGAAGAAGGAAAUGUUUGUGUUGUUCGUCUUAGCUACUUGCAUGAGCUCUCACCUUUUUGAUUCAUAGAAUGAUGAACUGACCACGAUGAUCUCACGCUGCUUUGAUUUGUAGAUUGACGACUUCCCCACAUAUUAUGGUUCGUAGGUUGCUGAAUCACCCUUUUUGUUGCUUGCGCCUUAAUUCGGUAAUCCAUCUACUAGCCUUUUGUUGAACAACACAAGUGAAAUGUAUGCAAGUACACAAUUUAUUUUAGGUUCGAAAGGCACUUAAGAGUUAAGACACUAGCUAUAAACCUACCAACAAGGGGAAUGUUUAUGUGUCUGUGUGCAGUGUCCUUCUAAUCGGUGGGGGUUAUAAAGUGUGGUUGUGGGCACUU
This is a long non-coding RNA of Triticum dicoccoides, 805 nucleotides long. RefSeq lists it as uncharacterized. The transcript has 5 exons. NCBI's taxonomy places the organism in Eukaryota, Viridiplantae, Streptophyta, Magnoliopsida, Poales, Poaceae. The record is from RefSeq and is a predicted model, not a curated record.